This 504-nucleotide long non-coding RNA is filed under the name Homo sapiens (human). Its description in RNAcentral is "HSALNT0332706". Lineage: Eukaryota; Metazoa; Chordata; Mammalia; Primates; Hominidae. The record is from RNAcentral.
CUGGUUACCUGAGCCAGGUCUGGGGCCAGGCAGCAUGCAUUCUAGUCCUGCCUGGGACACUCACUGGCCUCAAGAUCUUGGGCAAAACAGCUGACUGCUUUGCACCUCAGUUUCCUCAUCUGUAAGGUCCAGGACUACCCACUUCCCUUGGAAUGGUGUUGCCAUCACUGUUCUGGCACCGGAGAAAGGAUUCUACAUCGUUAGGAGAAAAGAAAAAGGAGAAUUUGGGCUUGCACUGAGAGGAUUACCUUUGGUGGUCUGGAAGUGGUGGGGUUGCAGCAUUGAAGGCACCAUCUUGGAAGCAGAGACUAGACCCUCACCAAGCAAUUAACAUGCUGGUGCAUUGAUCUUGGACUUUCCAGCCUCCAGAACUGGAAGUCCCUGCAUGGACACUGCCAGCUUCAUUGCACUUCUGCCUCUAUGCUUUUUCCUGAACCUUCUCCACCUCUGGAACGUACUUCAGGCUGCACAGGGAGCAUGGCUGGGAGGCCUCAGGAAACUGAC